AACAAGUUUUUAUGCACUGCUGCUGUUAUUAGACGGGUUUGUGAUCAGAGACUUUUAUAUUUAAAAGCAUUAUUUCGUUGUUUUAAGUACUCUAGCCGUUUAUAUACGGUACGAUUAAAUAGUUUUUAAUGUUUAGCCUUGUACUUUAAUAUGAUUCUUGUUGAUAUUUCAGAAAAAUAUGAACGCUCCUCCAACUUUCGAGUCAUUCAUUUUAUUCGAGGGCGAAAAGAAAGUCACUAUCGAGAAAGAUACAAAAGUACCGAACGCAGCUAUAUUCACAGUAAAUAAGGAAGAUCAUACUAUAGGAAAUAUCUUAAGAUGCCAAUUGCUUAAAGAUCCAAAGGUUUUAUUUGCCGGUUAUAAACAUCCGCAUCCUCUUGAGCAUAAAAUCGUUCUUCGGGUGCAGACAACACCUGAUACUACUCCUCAGAUAGCGUUGACUGAAGCUAUAACGGAUUUGAUAUCAGAGGUUUCGCUAUUAGAAGAAAGAUUCCGGGAUGCGAUAAGAGAAAAGAAAGAAAUUGAUUGAUAACUUCAUACAAACGGAAAUGGAAUUAUACGGGCGUGUCAAUCCGCUAAUUAUGCAAAUAAUCAGCUUUACUCUAGCGAAGGAGCGCGCGCCUUUAACGAGAUAAUCGGCUUAGAAACGUCGUUGUCCAAGUGUCGAAAGCUGCCGACGAAUUUUAAUCAUAAAGCUUGAAAAAUUGCAACAUUACUCCAAAAGUACACAUUCUUCCUGUCUUU
Molecule: unclassified non-coding RNA, 744 nt
Filed under: Dimorphilus gyrociliatus
Lineage: Eukaryota; Metazoa; Annelida; Polychaeta; Dinophilidae
Description: rNA_pol_L_2 domain-containing protein
Source: RNAcentral